Non-coding RNA from Ixodes scapularis (black-legged tick), 84 nucleotides. The record is from Rfam. Lineage: Eukaryota; Metazoa; Arthropoda; Arachnida; Ixodida; Ixodidae.
GUCAGGAUGGCCGAGCGGUCUAAGGCGCUGCGUUCAGGUCGCAGUCCGGCCUUCCGGGCGUGGGUUCGAAUCCCACUUCUGACA